Molecule: ribosomal RNA, 460 nt
Filed under: uncultured bacterium
Lineage: Bacteria
Description: bacterial SSU rRNA
Rfam family: Bacterial small subunit ribosomal RNA
Source: RNAcentral
GGCGAACGCUGGCGGCGUGCUUAACACAUGCAAGUCGAGCGGGGACAUGGAACGGAAGGUUUCGGCUGGAAGGUUCAUGUUCUAGCGGCGGACGGGUGAGUAACGCGUGAACAAUCUGUCCCAGACAGGGGGAUAACACUUGGAAACAGGUGCUAAUACCGCAUAAGACCACGAGAUCACAUGAUUUUGAGGUAAAAGGAGCAAUCCGGUCUGGGGUGAGUUCGCGUCCGAUUAGCUAGUUGGCGAGGUAACGGCCCACCAAGGCGACGAUCGGUAGCCGACCUGAGAGGGUGAUCGGGCCACAUUGGAACUGAGAGACGGUCCAAACUCCUACGGGAGGCAGCAGUGGGGAAUAUUGGGCAAUGGGCGAAAGCCUGACCCAGCAACGCCGCGUGAGGGAAGAAGGUUUUCGGAUUGGUAAACCUCUGUCCUCAGGGACGAAGGAAGUGACGGUACCUGA